Pongo abelii (Sumatran orangutan) is the source of this 148-nucleotide unclassified non-coding RNA. It matches the Rfam family "Metazoan signal recognition particle RNA". Rfam says of the family: The signal recognition particle (SRP) is a universally conserved ribonucleoprotein. It is involved in the co-translational targeting of proteins to membranes. The record is from Ensembl. Lineage: Eukaryota; Metazoa; Chordata; Mammalia; Primates; Hominidae.
GCCGGAUGUGGUGUUGCACACCUGUAGUCCUAGUUACUUGGGAGGCUGAGACAGGAGGAUCUAUUGAGCCCAGGAGGUCAAGGCUGCAGUGAGCUGUGAUCAUGUCACUGCAUUCUAGCCUGGGCAACAGAAUGAGACCCUAUCUUAA